CCUCGAAUUCGUAUGAUUACCUGCUGAAUUUAAGCAUAUUAAUAGGCAGAGGAAUAGAAACUAACCAGGAUUCCCUCAGUAGCGGCGAGUGAACAGGGAAGAGCCCAUGCCUGAAUCUGGCAGAUGGCAGUUUCGGCUGUCGUGUGUGUCUGCCCGAAUUGUAGUGUGGAAGGUGUCGUCCUUGAGACUGUGUGGUCGCUUUAACAUUGUGGUUGAUUCCAUCGUUCCUUUGGGAAACCAAAGAUGGUGAAAGUCCAGUCCAGAAGCGGCCAUCACGACCUCUAAUGGAAGGCAUCGUUGCGAGUAGGAUUGCUUGAGAUUGCAGUCUGAAUACGGGAGAUAAAUUUCUUCCAAGGCUAAAUAUAGAAUGGGAGACCGAUAGCGCACAAGUACCGCGAGGGAAAGGUGAAAAGUGCUUUGAUAAAAGGGUAAAAUAGAACUUGAAAUUGUAAAGGUUCCAAGCGCGAUCAGUCGCUACAGUGGAUCGGAUGGUUAGCUGGCUUUCUCGGAAGCCAGUCCGCGCCAUUACGGUUCAAGAGUCCGCGUCGUGUUGGAUGUGCACCAGUGAGCUUUUGCUUGGUUCUGCGUCUGGCACGAGGAACUUAAAGGCCACUUUUAGUCCGGGUCGGGUAAGCUUCGACAGCGGCUUCGGCUGCUUCGAGGAUUGUUCCGAUCGCUUUGGACUUGUGGUCUUGUGGACGUGGAUGUGAAGCGACUGAGACCGACCCGUCUUGAAACACGGACCGAGGAGUCUGGGAUGUGUGCGAGCGGAAGUAAUGGUAAUUACGUACGCUCAAUGAAAGUGAAGUGUACAAGCUUUGUCCAGUACACUCCGACCUAGUAUCUGCUCGGGCUUACCCGAGCAGAGUUGGAUUGAGUGAGAGUAUACAUACUAGGACCCGAAAGAUGAUGAUCUAUACGUGAGUUGGCUGAAGUCAGGGGAAACUCUGAUGGAAGGUCUCCGAACAGUGCUGACGUGCAAAUCGCUUGUCACAUUUGUGUAUAGCGGCGAAAGACCCAUCGAAUCAUCUAGUAGCUGGUUCCCUCCGAAGUUUCCCUCAGGAUAGCUGGAGUCGUUGGUAGUCUUGUGAGGUAAAGCGAAUGAUUAGAAGUCUUGGAACUUUAUCGGUUUCAACUUAUUCUCAAACUUUAAAUAGGCAAUGGGAUUGUUGUUUGAUUAAACAGUCUGCUGGAUACAGACUCUUAGUGGGCCGUGUUUUGGUAAGCAGAACAGGCGAUGUGGGAUGAACCGUUAGUCGAAGGGAAAGGUGUCUAAUUGUACGCUAAUUCCGAUACCAUAAAAGGUGUUGGUCCAUUAAGACAGUUGUCCGGUGGCCAUGGAAGUCGGCAUCCGCUAAGAAGUGUGUAACAACUUAACAACCGAAUGGACUAGCCCUGAAAAUGGAUGGCGCUGAAGCGUACAAACCUCUCCCUUACCAUUGUGUCCAGGUUGGUGCUAUAAGGACCAAUGUGUAGGAGGGCGUGUCGGUUGUUACAAAGCUCUUUUAGUGUGUGAAUGAGAGUGAAACGGCCGAUAGUGCAGAUCUCGGUAGUAGUAGCAGCUAUUCACACGAGUUACUGGUCUUUCUCGCAUCGAGGACCAAACACCUCGGUGCGAGACGGUGAAGCUCUGAAGGUCGUCGUGGAGAAGGUUUCCUUGCGAGUGGCGCUCAUGCAAGGGUCAGUCGGUCCUAAGUGUUCGGGGAAACCCAGUAAAUGUACUUUCAUUAUGAAGGACACGAAAGGGAAUCAGGUUAAUAUUCCUGAACUUGGGGUCGCGGGAAGGUUGUCUGGUUCUUCGGAAUCAGGCUAUGGUUAAAUGCUGUAAAGCUGUGUUGCAGUCGGAACAGCGUCUAGGAGAGCCCGGAAGAGUUUUCUUUUCUCUCUAACAGCCUUUAGAACUGAGCGACCUUCUGGUAAGCCAGUUCUUUGGCGGCCCUGGAAUUUAAUCAAUUAGUGAAAGGGUUGCUUUAAGGUUGGAAAGGCAGGAUGGUUUCUGUCCUGUGAGGUUUGUUCAUAGAUGCACUAAAAGAUCCGAUCGCGCGCCCAACUGUGUCGUUUGACACGGCUUUUCCCACGAUCCAAGCCGUACCAGAAACCGCAACAGGUCUCCAAGGUUAUCAGCCUCUGGCCAAUUAGAACAAUGUGAGUAAAGGAAGUCGGCAAAAUGGAUUUGUACCUUUGGUAGAAAGGUUGGCUCUUGGGAUGGAGCGAUUCGGCUGGUGUCGGAAACAGUCUGUAUGGUGGCUGAGGGGUGCCAGACCGAUUAGUAUUGAGUUUUACUCGAGAACAUUGGAAAGGUUCUUCCUCAGCUUACCUGGGCUAUGUACGGGACUAUGCAGAACUGUUCUUGUGAGCUAGAACUGUUCGUACGGGUCGCACUAAACCAUCAACUGGGAACCUACGGAUCCGGAGGAAUCCGACUGUUUAAUUAAAACAAAGCAAAGAGAAUGGCUGCACACAGGUUUAGCCUCUUUGUGAUUUCUGCCCAGUGCUCUGAAUGUCAAAGUGAAGAGAUUCAACCAAGCGCGGGUUAACGGCGGGAGUAACUAUGACUCUCUUAAGGUAGCCAAAUGCCUCGUCAUUUAAUUUGUGACGCGCAUGAAUGGAUCAACGAGAUUCCUACUGUCUCUACUUACUAUCUAGCGAACUUACAGCCAAGGGAACGGGCUUGGGAGUGACAGCGGGGAAAGAAGACCCUGUUGAGCUUGACUCUAGUUUGAUUAGUGUAAUAACGCUAAGGAUGUAGAAUAGGUGGGAGGUUCUGCCGAUAGUGAAAUACCACUACCUUUGUUGUUGUUUCACUCACUUGGAUUAAGAGUGAUGCGUGGUCUGUGUCUUCGGACGCAGACCAAGCACUUCUAGUGUAACACUUUGUAAACUCCUUUAUCCACCAGGGAAACAGUCAGAGUGGGAGUUUGGCUGGGGCGGCACACUUGUUAAAAGAUAACGCAGGUGUACAAUGACCAGCACAUUUAGGUCAGAAACCUAAAGUAGAGGAGCAGGCCAAAAGCUGGUUUGACUCAUAUUUUCAGUACAAAUAUUAGCCGUGAAAGCGUGUCCUAGUGAUCCUUUAGUGAAUAGAACCGUGUGGCUUGCCACACGGUGCGGUCUUUCGAAAUUUGAAGCUAGAGGUGUCAGAAAAGUUACCACAGGGAUAACUGGCUUGUGGCGGCCAAGCGUUCAUAGCGACGUCGCUUUUUGAUCCUUCGAUGUCGGCUCUUCCUAUCAUUGUGAAGCAGAAUUCACAAAGUGUCGGAUUGUUCACCCGCUAACAGGGAACGUGAGCUGGGUUUAGACCGUCGUGAGACAGGUUAGUUUUACCCUA
This 3328-nucleotide ribosomal RNA is filed under the name activated sludge metagenome. RNAcentral's name for it is "eukaryotic LSU rRNA". It matches the Rfam family "Eukaryotic large subunit ribosomal RNA", at positions 1 to 2996 of the family's 3401-position model. The record is from RNAcentral.